RNAcentral lists this ribosomal RNA (372 nucleotides) under uncultured organism. Its description in RNAcentral is "partial 16S ribosomal RNA". It matches the Rfam family "Bacterial small subunit ribosomal RNA", at positions 527 to 896 of the family's 1533-position model. The record is from RNAcentral.
AGAGGGUGCGAACGUUGCUCGGAUUUACUGGGCGUAAAGCGCGUGUAGGCGGACUCGCAAGUCGGUUGUGAAAUCCCUGGGCUCAACCUAGGAACUGCAUCCGAAACUGCUUGUCUUGAGUAAUGGAGAGGGUGGCGGAAUUCCCGGUGUAGAGGUGAAAUUCGUAGAUAUCGGGAGGAACAUCAGUGGCGAAGGCGGCCACCUGGACAUCUACUGACGCUGAGACGCGAAAGCGUGGGGGAGCAAACAGGAUUAGAUACCCUGGUAGUCCACGCCGUAAACGAUGAGCACUAGGUGCAGCGGAUAUUGACCUCUGCUGUGCCGUAGCUAACGCGUUAAGUGCUCCGCCUGGGGAGUACGGCCGCAAGGCUA